CAGGAUACAAGUAUAUAUCACACACAAACAGAUUGCAUGGCUGAACUAGUACUCUCUAUGAUUUCAUGGAAUGGGAUACACAACCACCUUUCCGGUAGCUCUGGAGGUUUCAAGAUAGGCAAAUGCUUCAACAUUCUUCGAAAAUGGAUACGGCCCGGUGGGAUCAAGCACCGGCCUCACCUUCCCACUCUCCAAGUAAGGCUUCAGUUUCUCUAAUACAGUUCCGGUUGAAGUCAGCAUAAAUAGGAAUGCCGGUGGCGCUACUGGACGUACAAUUGUCAGUACCUUCCCGCCUGCCUUCACCAUCUUCACUGCCCUGUCAGUCUCCCCUAUUUUUGUUAAUUUCAGAAACACAAAACAACAUCAGUCCUCGUGUUUGAUUAAUUCCUGAUAAAUAAAUAAAAAAUGUUGUAACCUUGAUGUAUUUUAUUUGGUUGGAUAGCAUCAUGCAUUGAAUUGUUUAAGCUUAAUUUAUGUAAGAAAGAACCAACAAUGAAGAUUCAAGAAUCAUCCCAACUGCGCCAUAAACCACAUCGAAUUCCUCGGGCAGGUCUACGAAGUUUGUUGGGGACAACACAUGUAAACAAAUUACUUAUAUUACACACACAAAAUAUUACAACACACUCUCAAGGACACACUUUAGAAGCUACGACACUUACUCACUCAAGAGACACACUCUAGACCACUCACACUCUUCACAAGACUACUCUUGCUUCUUGGCUACCUUCUAGUUCUUUCUACAAACUAGAACUAGUUUCUAGCUUCUAAUAUAUUCUACAAAUCUCUAACUUAGAUAAUUCUAGACUAGCCACCCUACUUUGCAUGCUAGAAUCUUCUAGAACAAUUCAAUGCAUGUUUGAACUAGAACAAUCUAGUUCCCUUAUACCGACUAAGCUUAAUGGGCUGGUGUUGAUCUUUAACACUCCCCCCUCAACACCAGCUCAUUCUUUUCUUCUCGCUAAGUCGACACUUUAUCUUGAACACCCAUUUACAUGAGAUGGGUUUUACUUCUCUUGGCCUUGACACUUAAUCCCAAGUUUGAUAUUUCUUUAACGCAUCGACCUUUUCUGACACCGGAUAAUGGAGAUCAAAGAGAAACCACAAGUGAACACUCAAAGAUAAACAACUCACCACUCUAAGGAAUCCACCAAAGAGAUAAGAGUUUAAGGAUAGGAAGAAAAACACUCUUCACUAAACCAAGUUUAAAAGGUUAAGGAUAGGAAGAAAAACACUCUUCACUAAACCAAGUUUAAAAGUAAUUCUUAAUUUCUGAAUGAUUUAUUUCCAUACAUGAGUAGGGAUUUUUAAUAGUCUAGGCAUGGAACAACCUUCGACCUUCCAUGAAUAGGUUACUAAGCAUGAACUUAAUGUAAGACUAAUCAUGAACUUAAAUGAGAACAUGAACCAUCUUUGAAUUAAAUACGAUGAAUGCACCAUGUAAUAAUUAGAUGAGUCCAAGUUCGGCGUCAUUUUCUCCUAGCUUUAUGCCAUUCAGAAUUCUGUAAUGCUUCUUUACGCAUUGCUUCAACUGCUUCUUCUACUAUGGUUGUGUUGGCGUAUAUGGGAUUUGGCUUCAGUAUUCUCAUUGACCUCCUUAGUUCUGAUUGUGGAGUUGAUACUUCCACUUCAAUAGGUCUAACUUCUCUUGGUGGUUGAUACACACUAGUUUGCCAAUGACCCUUAGGCACUUCUUGCUCGACAUCGUCUCUAGCAAGCAAAUCUUCAGGCUCAUUUGGACUCAAUUGGACUUGGGUAGCUUGGUCUCCCAUUUUCUCCUGCAACAUAUCUUCAAUCUCUUUCGAGUCGGAAAAUGCUUCAUUUUCUGAGCACCAACAAGAUGAUGCUUCUGUGUCCCAUUCUUCCUUCAUAGCUAGAUACGCUACGGUGUCCCAAUCAUCUUCAUUUUCCUCCUUUGAGCUGGCGACAUUACUUUCUGUGGGCUUUUUGAACCAGGAAUCCUUCGCUAUAUGGCCCUUCUUUCCAUAAUUGUAACAUUUGCCCUCAAACCUUUUAUUAUUUUGGGACUGACCACGGUUGUCGUGAUAUUUCGGAGCUACCCCUGGCCGAGAACACCCUUUUCCUUGAUGACCUUUCGCCUUGUCACCAUUUGUUUUAGAUUCUCCAUCAUCACGCUGCUUAAAGCUACCUUUACUUUUGGUGUAGAGCGUUUCCUCCUCACCUUUUAACAAGACCUCUCCCAUUUGCUUUGCCAAAGCUUCUUGAUUGGCAAGCAAAUUCUCAAACUCAACAAGUGAUGGUUGGGUAGGCCAUCCUUGUACAGCGGCAACGAAGCCUCGAUAUUCGGGUCUCAAUCCAUGGAUAAUUAUUCUUUUUAUCCUGAAUUCUACAAUGGCAGCAUUAGGAUCUAACUCAGAAAUUUCACGGCAAAUAGACUUUACCUUGUGGAAAUAUUCGGCAAUCGUCAUGUCUCGUUGGGCCACCGAUAACAACUCGUUCUCAAGAAUCUGCAGUCUUGUAUCAUUCCUCUUUGAAAAGAGUGUGGUGAAGGUGUCCCACCCUUCUUUCGGUGUCUUGGCCUUUCCGUAUGUGCUCCAACAUGUCCUAUUCAAUUGUCGUUUUUAAGGUGAACAUUGCAUUACCUGGCUUGAUCUUCCAUUUCGACAAAGUGCCGCUAGAGUCUUCUUCCGACUGUGUGAUCUCAUUAUCGCCGGUGACAUCCCAAAGAUCUUGGCCUUGUAGGUAAGACUCUAUACAUGUCACCCAUAUGUUGUAAUUUUUUUUUAUUAAGCUUUUUGAUUCCUCCAACAACUUGAAGAUCUCCCAUCGUGUCGACAAAACUUCGAUAAGCCGAACAAGAUUAACUAAUAAUCUUGUAAAGUACUAAACUUCUCACGAUUCUCUAAAGCUUCAAUAGAGAUGGUCCUUUGAUCGUACCGCUCUGAUACCAAUUGUUGAGGAAAAAUUAGAGUACACAACUCUAACACAAGUGUUGGGUGUCUACAAAAUAGAAAAUAUAUUCGAACAAAAAAAAUCAACUAGAUCAAUUUUGAUUCUUCAAAUAGAUUAAACUAAAUUAUAAGUUGGUAAAGAUUAAAACUUUUCUAAAUCCCCCAAAUCACAAGCUAAUCAUGCAUUAGUGAAAAAGAUAUGAAGAGAGAGAGGCUCAUAAGGGGUGGAGAGUCAGAGUCCUUCAAGUAGCCAAGUAUCAUUUUCAAAUCAACUGAGUUGAGAGAUGCAACAACCACCUUGAUCAGCACCUGGUCUUGUUUGGGUUAAAACUUGAACUUUGGGCUCAAGAAGGAGUUGGCCCAAAAGAAAGAGGUCUAGAAGGAGAAAAGCCCGAAGCCCAGCCAAAGCCCAGAAAGCAGGAGAGGCCAUUUCUGACUAGGUGCAGACCAUUUGAACCACUUGCUCACCUACUUAGAGGUCAAGUGGUAUAGACCAGCCAGCUAAUCAGCCCAAAAACAAUUUACAGUGGCGGUACAAGUAAAAAGCUGAUGAGUCAUUGCCCUUCAAGUUGCAUUCGGGCAAGAUUACUGCUUCAGGAGACCAAGCCGAAGUGUCUAUAAAAGAAGAAAGAGAAAUCAAAGAUAAGGACACUCAAUCAAACAAACAAAUACAAGCACAAACUCUGCUCAAACCAGAUUUGCCUUCAACGAAGCUGUAGUCAGCCCAAGUCUUCAUCCAUUUUGGGAUUAACCCUCAACCAAAGCCUUUGUAAUAGCUCUGCUACCUUGUCUAGAACUUGUUGUAGUAUCGAUUUCCUUUUGUAAACCCAUCUCCUUACCCCUCUUUCUAAGCUCUCAAACCCCUUGAUAAACCACAAAGAUAGGAAGUUGCAAGACGAUCAGCCUUGCCCGACCCUCUAUGUUUUUGUCUUUUCAUUCAUUAGUCUAGCAAUAUGUUGUAUACUUCCAGUUGUAUCCAAGUUAUUUCUGGCAAGUUGAUGAUUAAAAAGGCUCAUCAAUUCUUGAAUCCGAUUUAAAUAUGUCUUCACAGAUUAAAUUAGAUCUAAGUUCUAAGCCCUCGGGCAUGUAAGAUUGAUCAUUUAAAAGUCCUUGGUCUCAAGGCAUAAAAAAGAACCUUAUGUGGACUUAACCCAUCCACGACAGUCUUUGAUAAACAAGAAGUCCGAAGUUACUUAGGGCGCAAGUAAUCGACCUAUCCCUUAGUAUUAUUUCUAUUAUAUUAUGAUUAUCGUAGAACGUUUGAGCAUAGAAUGAAUUCUGAUGGGAAGCCUCAAGGCCUACACCUAAGGCCCUACAAAGGCACCUAUUUGGAUUCUUUCUGCUUUUCGGGGGCAAGUAAUCAGAAGUAUAAUAGUCAUAAUACUUCUGUAAUCAAUGAAACAAACAUUAUAUAUUUGAGUACUAGGUUAGUUCCUGAUUGGAAGCCUCAAGGCCUACCCCUAAGGCCCCACAAAGGCACAUUUCAUAACUAAAACAGCCUAUCGGGUAUAUAUACAACUAAAACUCAACAUCUGUUUUACAUCUGCCAUGCUGAAGAUGGCAGUGACACGCCUGAGCACUUAAAAGUUAAUCUUGAUUGUGUGCCUCAAGGCCUAUACCUAAGGCCCCACAAAGGCACAUUUCAAAGUUAACUUUGUCUUUCUUUUUCAGCCUUGCCCGACAAGCCUGCCAGUGAAGCAGAAGCCCGACAGAAAGUAUCGACCGGCGCUAACCUCUCGGGGAGCUGUGUGCUCGUUGGCUAAGAAACACCCCCAACGAAAAUUCUAGCCACGAACAGGUCUUCAUUUGUUUCGGGAACAAGAACAUCCGGAUCGAAGUUCAAAACAUCUGCAAGCUUCCCGUACUCUGAGUACACCCACGCCUUGUUUACAGAUGGUACGGAAACUGUAUCACUUGAAGCUACAGCCACCAUUGAUGCACUGCAAAACCACAAGAACUUGCAAAGGGAAAGGGAAAUGGUUUGUUGUUGUUGUUGUGAGCAAAUGAGUGAGAUACGAUCAGUCUGAGAUCUUGGCACCGUGUCAUUUUAAUGGUGAAGGAGAAGGAUGUGGGUUUUACUGGCGAAGGAGGAGGAUGUAGCUGUUAACUACAUUGAAAUGUUUGGGAAUUAAAGAGAAAAUCAAGAAAAAUCGAUGAAUAGAAGGAUGAACACAGAGAUCUUAGAGAGAGAGAGAUAAAGUUUAGAAAGAGAAAUAUGAGGCUUGUAUUAACUAAAAAUAAAGAUUACACAACUAUGUUUUUAUAAGAGAAUAGCCUACCAACUCUAACCAAAUACUAACAAACUUACUAGAUUGUUGACUUGUACAAUCUUUUUAACUAACCAUCUAACUAUUGGUGUGAAACCCUUAAUAGUAGCAACCACCUUGAUCAGCACCUCAUCCUCCUUAAUUUCAGGAACAGCCAAAAAUAAAAAAUAAAGAUGGUUAUUGGAAAGCGAGUAGUUGAUGUCACAGCCCGUCCCGAGAUUCUAUAUAUCGAGGUUGUGAAAUGACAAAAUUACCCUUAACGGUUACUAAGGUAUGUGUGUGACAUGUUAUUGAUUAUGCAUAUUUCCUAAGUUUUGGAAAAAUUUAAUUGGAUUAAAGGUUAUAUGUAUUUUUGUGGUUAGGGAGUUAAGAAAAAUGGAUGGUGAUGGUUUUGGGAUGGACCACACACACAUACACACGGGUCAAACCUCUCUCUCUCUCCUUCCCGUGCUCUCUCUCUCUCUUCUCUUCUCAGUUCACUCUCUCCCUCUCAAAACUUACGGAUGAGACCAAAUUCCCUCUAAACAUCGCGGAUCGACGCCGAAAAGGUAAGGUUCUUCAUCCUUUCGACCUCCUGAGUCGUUUGGUACUAGUUUUAGAAUGGGAAACCUUAGAAAUCACGUUGAAAACCCGAGGUCCAAUUUGAGUACUGUUCAUGCAUUCGUGAUGUGUUGAUUUUCAGGGAAUUCUAAGCUUAUAGUGAGCUUAGUGAGGUCCUAAGGAAGCUCGGAGUGCUUAGUUUAAAGGUUUUAGACGUCGGGAUCGUUGAGUUCGAAGUUGGCCGGUUUUCUUGGAAUUUCUCCGGUGAGAUUUCGUAGUUUUUAGAGCCUUAAAGUAGUGUAACGUGAAUCUACAUGCUUAGGGCUUCAUUUUGAUAUAAAAUGCGUGAAAAUGGUUGAGAAAUGACGGAGAACAAGGAGAUUGAAAAAUCUCCAGUUUUUCGACGACCGGCGACUAGAGGUUAGGGGUGAUACGCAUGGGGGCACGUGGACCCGUGCCCAUCCUGGCGCGUGCGGCCUCGGAAAAAUUUUCUGAAAAUAUGUCGACGUCCAUGACGUCGAGUAGGUCACUGUGGUAUAUUCAUAUACCCAAAUUGAGCACCGUAUGAGAAGUUAUUUCGAAUUGUCUGUUAUGUGCUUUAAAUAACGUUAUUUUAGUUGUUUCGCAUAUAGGUGAUACCUAUCCCGAGGACGAGCGCAUCCAGGGAUGUCACAGGGGUUACGACCCUUCGACUUAUCAGUGAGUGGGCAGUUAUUUUCUGUUAUUACCUAUAUACUAUUGAUUUUCCCAGAAAUUGAAUUUAAAUGAAAGUAUGUUUUCAAAUGCCAUGCAUGCAUAUUAUGAAUUAUAUGAAUUAGUAAUUGAUGCAUAUAUAUAUAUAUGAAUUGGUGUUGUGGACGCACAUGUGAGUAUCAGGUGAGUUUUAUGUUAUCUAUGUGAAUCAUUUAUGAUGUGAAUUAUGUUGAGAGCUCAUAACCUGCACCCCUGGUGUUAGUGCUUAUAGUAUUCACCGCACCGCACGCUCACCUUGGAUCCAAGUAGGUGCAUGUCGUACAAACCAUGAGAGAGUUCCGACAUACUAGUCGUACAGAUCACUAGAGGUGGUUCCGACUGGUAGGUGACCUUAGAUUAUGUGCACAGAUGAUUGAUGAGAGAAGCACUAAAGCGUAUUAUUACACCAUUCUUGUUGUACAGACUACUUCAGGUAGUUCCGACUUAUGUGCAGAGUAGUGCCGUACAGGUCACCGUGGUGACUCCGGUUGGUUUGGAUAUUGAGCUAUGGAAUUAACCGUACAGGAUCAAUUGCAGGGUCUCCGGUUAAUUCAUUAUGUCACCUGUUAUAUUGAUGCAUUCACAAUCUGUUAUUGACAUUUAUGGCAUGGCAUAUUUUCUGGAAUUGAUAAAGAUUCGUGAUUUGAGUUAUAUGAAGAGUUAUAUGCAUAUUAUGUUAAUUUCUGGGAAAGUAUACAUGUUUUACAGCGAGAGGUUAGAAUUGCUUUUGAUGAAAUGUUUUCGAAAAAAUUUGGUUUUACUGACCCAUUCAAUUUUGUUUUGCGCCCCUCUAGGUUCUAGUUAGCAGCAUUGGUGGCCCACGAGGAUCCCCACGGCGUACUGACAGACUACAUAAAUGUAGGACUCACCUGCGGGUGUUGUAAUCUAGUUAUGGUCCUACUUGACUGCACCUAGUUCUUAUGCUCUGAAUUUGUGUGUUUCACACUUAAACUUACUCUAGCACGUUACUUGGUUAUUAUUGCUAGUAUUUGGUUUUUGUUUAUUCGUAUUUCUCUUAUCUUUUGCUUCCGCGUCGCACUUUUGGUUACGUCACACUCACGUGGUGGCCAGCACGCCUUGAUUCUAGGAUUGGGGUGUGUCAGUUGAGCCCAAACUGGCAAACCGAAGUGUUGUUAAGAAAUUCCCACUAUGGUCUCUAGAGAACAAUCCUAACCCCUAUUAUGACUAGUUGUUCAAAAGGAUCUCCCGUUCUUCCAUCAAAUAUUUUUGGCCCUUUAAAAAUAUCUUUGUAAGUAUCCUUAAAAGUAACUUUGUAAGUUUCAUAUCGUUAGUUAAAAAAUAACAAAUAAAUAUAAAGAUUUGCAAUAUAUCAUAGGAUUUGGAGGAACUGUAAGAGGGAGUACAUCCGCUCUAACCAAUGCCCGUGUUAAAGCUAAAAAACACAGCAAUGAGCAAGUAGGAAGAAAACACACUGCAAACUAGCCAAACUAGAAGCACUAUAUAAAUACACAUAACAUUGCGCCCUUAUUACAAGACUUUCAAACAAGCGGGCAGCAGGAUACAAGUAUAUCACACACGAACAGACUGCAAGCCUGAACUAGUAUACUCUAUUAUCUCAUGGGAUGGGAUACACAACCACCUUUCCGGUAGCUCUGGAGGUUUCAAGAUAGGCAAAUGCUUCAACAGUCUUCGAAAAUGGAUACGGGCCGGUGGGAUCAAGCACCGGCUUCACCUUCCCACUCUCCAAGUAAGGCUUCAGUUUCUCUAAUACAGCUCCGGUUGAAGUAAGCACAAAUAUGAUUGCCGGUGGCGUUACUGGACCUAUGAUUGUCACAACCUUCCCGCCUUCCUUCACCGCCUUCAAUGCCCUGUCACUCUGCCCUGUUUUUGUUAAUUUCAACAACACAAAACAACAUCAGUCAUUGUGCUUGAUUUGUUUAAGAAAAAAACAACGAUGAAAAUUCAAGAAUUAUACCAACUGCAUCAUAAACCACAUCGAAUUUCUCAGGCAGGUCUUCGAAGUUCUCCUUGGUGUAAUCAAUAGCCAAAUCAGCACCCAAGCUUCUCAAAAGAUCGAGUUUUUUCGUGCUCGCUGUAGCUGCUACUUUUGAAGCACUAAACACGCUUUGCUAGCUGCCUCACAUAAACACAUUGAGUGUCAAGAAUAAUUAAUCAAUCAGCUUUACUUAAUUAGAGCCUAACUUAAUGGAAAAUGUUUGCACUUGAUUAACAUUGUACCUGAAUAACAUGUGUUCCGACUCCCCCAGCGCCUCCCAAAACAAGGAUGGAUUUACCGGCAGAGAAUUCAACUCGUUCGAGCCCUUCAUAGGCAGUCUCAAUGGCCAGGGGAAGGCUAGCAGCUUCAACAAAACUCAGAUUUUUUGGCUUGAGAGCUAACACUCUUUCUUCUGCAGCAGUGUACUCGGCCAAUGAUCCGAUCUUUUUCGGCUUAUCGAGAGACUUCUCGUUGAGAUCCCCAUAUACUUCAUCCCCCACCUUAAACUUUGUCACCCGGCUUCCUACUUUCACCACCGCACCAGCAACAUCAUACCCUGGAACCGUCUGCAAACAAGUUAAUUUAAUAAAAUUAAUAUUUUAGUAAACAAGCUAAUUGGGUUUACACUAGAAUUUGAAGAUCAACUUUGAUUCUUCAAAGCAAGUUUCUUGUUAUUUCUUAACCUUUCAAUUUUUAUUUUAUUUUACAAGAUGAUAAUUUAAACUAAUCUACAUGUGGGGAUUCAAACUUGGGUGUCAUCAUCUAAAGAGGAACGAGCACAUUAUUUUGGCCAACUGUAAUAUUAAUAUUCGUCUGUUUAAAAAGAAACGAGCACACUGUUCUAGCCAAUACACGUUUACAAAAAGAAAAUUUCUUCUAACAAAAAGAUCAACUAGAUCAGCUUUGAUUCUUCAAAUAGAUUUAACUAAAUUAUAAGUUGGUAAAGACUAAAACUUUUCUAAAUCCCCCUACUCACAAACUAAUCUUGCAUUUGACUUCAGUGAAAAAAAUGAAGAGAGAGAGAGAGGCUACAGGGGGUGAAGAGUCAGAGUCCUUGAAGUAGCCAAGCAUCCUUUUGAAAUCAACUGGGUUGAGAGAUGCAGCAACCACCUUGAUCAGCACCUGGUCUUCCUUUAUUUCAGGAACAGGAACAUUCGGAUCGAACUUCAAAACAUCUGCAGACUUUCCGUGCUCUGAGUACACCCACGCCUUGUUUACAGAUGGUAUGGAAACUGAAUCACUUGAAGCUACAGCAGCCGCCAUUGAUGCACUGCAAAAACCACAAGAAUUUGCAAAGGGAAAGGGAAAGGGUUUGUUGUUGUUGUUGUGAGCAAAUGAGUGAGAUCAGAUCAGAUCAGAUCAGUCUGAUAUCUCGACAGCGUGUCGUUUUAAAGGUGAAGGAGAAGGAUGUGGAACCUUGGUGUUUGCCUACGUGGCCAUAUAAGAAAAAACUCCAAAUGAUGCAUCAAGAUGCACUGUUAGUUAGGUUCAGUGGGGCAACAUGCCAAAUUAUGCAUGUAGACACAUCGUUGCUUGAGGUUCAUUGUGUGCGGCAACAUGUUAUAAAAUUGGUGUUCUGUUUCUUUUAGCCAAAUCUGACAUCAAGAAACCCCUGGAUGGUAAUGCUAACGUCGCUGAUAUCGUAAUGCUUGCUAGCGUAGAAGUUUUCUUCCUUUUUUUAUCCUUAUCCUUGAGUUUUCUUCUUUCUUGUUGACACCUCCAACAAGAAAUAUAAGAAGAAAAAACCCAACACUUUCUGUUACUUGGCUCUUUUGUAAGUAAGUGCUUACGUAAGAAAUACUAAUUUAUAACUUUACGUAGGUUACUAUUAUUAUUUUUAUAACUUUAGGUAGGUUACUAUUAUUAUUUUUUAACAAAUGAUAUUAUCUUAUAUUAAGACCAUCUUUAACCUAUGGGGUAAAGCUUAAAAUAUAAGUUUUAAAAACCCCCAAACCAUUUCCAACCAUAGGCUAAAUAAGUCAUGGUGAGAAAAUAUAUAUCUGGGCUAGAUUCCCUGUUACACCACACCCUCAUUUUAGUUAAAAAUGGUUUUUAGUUCUGAAUUGGUGAGCCCAAAGGGCACACCCCCUGUUAUCUGUCCCCGGUUUCCCAUCUCUCUCUCUCUCCUCCAUUUCUCUUCUCUUUUCCCUUCUCUCUCCCCGAAUCUCUCUGCACCCACUCUCGUCUCUCUUUCUCUCCCUCAUUCCCCGAUCUCUCACCCCUCGACCCACACCCGAGAGCUCCACACCACCCUCCCCGACAUCAACGGAGCCACCAUCAUCAUCAUGCCGUCUCUCUCUCUCUCUCUCUCUCUCUCUUGUCGCUGCGAGGUGCGGAGAAGCCACCCUCCUGCGAGAUUCUCCAUUUUUUAGAAAUCAAGGUAAGCCUCGGGACUUCUCUUUCUGGUUUAUGAUGAAUUGGGGUUAAGUUUGGGACUUUUUAUCCAUGCAUGCUUGUGUUCUUCGAAUUUCCAAUUCUCGGCAAACUUCUACGGUGGAACUCUAACGAGUUCUAAAUCAAACCCACCCCAAACUUUGGAAUUUCUCAUCUAAGAAACUGAAUGGUGAACAUCAUGAAUUCCGGCAGUGGAAUCGUCGAAUUUGGGGUCCUGCAAGCUCAUCUGAGUAUCCAGCAAACCUAGGGUAAUGUUAUUAUGCUUUGCAUGUUAGAUUUGAGUUGAGAUUUGAAGGUUUUAACCCUAGGAAACUCUUUGUGCAUUUCCCUAACUCCAGCAAGAAAAUUUGGCGAAGCCUUGUCGAGUCCGAAGAGGAUUUGACUCGUUUUCAUCUAUGUUGAUGCUCUGAUGAAUUACCUCAAUUUUUAGUGAAGUUCUAGUCCAAAGUCAUGUGGAACCACUGGCGGAUUCAUUAAGGGGUAAGGGGGUCAGCUGACCCCCCGAACUUCAAUGAACGUCUAUAGAUACCUUAGGUGCUGACCCUCCGAAUUUCGAUGAAUGUCCAUGGAUACCUUGAGUGUUGCCCUUUUGAAGAUUAGAGUUGGCUUCAUACUUGCCCUCCAACCGACUUUAGACUUACCAAAACCCGAUGAAUGUCCAUGAAUACCUUGGGUGAUGCCCUUGCAUACAUUAACAUAUCUAUAGUAUGCAUUUUCAAAUGACUUCAGGCCUACCAAGACUCGAUAAAAUGACGAUAUGCAUACUAUUUUUGGUAUAAAAAAAAUUGCGCACUACGCGCGUUGUUCUUACUGACCCCCUUUAAUAUUAUUUCCUGGAUCCGCCACUAUAUGGAACCAAGGUGUUUUACCUCUGUUUAUUCUCUGCAAUCAGUUCCAAAAACUAGGGAACCCACACAUAUUGAACUCCAGCGAGUUCUUGGGCUGCUUGUUUAAUGUGUGUGUGUGUCGUGUGUGUGUGUGAGUGUGUGUGUGUGUGUGUGUGUGUGUGUGUGUGUGUGUGUGUGUGUGUGUGUGUGUGUGUGUGUGUGUGUGUGUGUGUGUGUGUAUGUGUGUUAUAUGGGUUUGGGCUCAAGCCCAAACCACCAUUCUUUGCAAUAAGGCCUUCGGGCCGUGUGUGUAUAUGUGUGGGUCUGGGCCCAAGCUCAGACAACCCUAAACCCAUCCAACCCACAACCCUUUUCCCAAAACCAAUUUCCUAAAACUCAUUAACCUUAAAUCUAAAUCUAAACCCUUAGGGCCCAAUCGGCCCAACCCAAAUCCAAGCCCAGUCUGACCUUUGACCGUUGACUUGGUCAACGGUCAGCGUUGACUUUGACCAGUCAACGAUUAACAUUGACUUUUAGAGUUGACUUUUCGGGGUUUCGUCUGGGACCUUUCCUAGGCUAAUUUCGACGUCCUGGACCCGUUUUUGAAGUCCAUUUUCCCAAAUUAAAUUGUUUGAGUAGAGUUUGACUAAUUGUGCUAUUUAUGUGCUUAGGGUCAACUAUUGUGACGUUUUCGUCUUCGCUAGUGGCGCAGUUUUUGGCGGCUAAGUACUGUGAGUAGACCCCUUCUAAAAUUAAAUGAUUUUAUAGUUCAAUUGCAUAAAUGAAUAGCAUGCCUUACGAGUUUAUGAUUUGAUUUUAUGUUAAGCAUUUUUAUUGAAUAUGUUGAUUUUCGUCUUGUGUUUUUUAUGAGGAAUUAAUUGUUAGCCUAUAUUGAGCUAUAUUUUAAUAUAUCGUAUUUUCUAUAAAAACCAUGAACUGGUAGACUAUCUGAUGGAUGACGAUAGGAUGCUAGAACAUGUUUUAGAAACCCCUCUUUAUAGUAUAGACGAUGGAUGACUUUAUACUAUGAAGUGGUUAUUUAUGAAAGGCGUAAUUAUUUGUGCAUAUCUAGUGGACACUAUGCCGCCUGGGGUGAGGAUCUGGUGUUGGCAGAUAGGCCGGGAGAAAUAAUCCCUAGCUACGGGCUGAGGGACACGGAGCAGGCAUUGGGCCGAGAGUUGGUAAUCUCUGGCUACGGGUGCAGAGACCACGGUGCUGGCAUAGGGCCGGGAGUUAUAUUUAUUCAAUGAUCUUACUAGCAGCACACCAUGUUUACGAGACGAUCUACGAGAUGAUACACGCGAUGAUUUAUAUGAUGUUUUUCCGCGUUAUACCUGUUGAGAUGUUUUAUGGCAUGCUAGAGUUUCAGAAAACCUAUCACUUAUUAUGCUAGUAGUUUUCAUUAUAUAUAAACUUGGUCCACUCACCCUUGUUUUGCGCCCCUUUCAGGAUUUAGAAUUCGAGGCAUAGGUUCCCGACGUCAACGCUUUCGCAUUGGCAUAUUCGAGUCCUCUCGGUGUAGGACUCACAUCCUUUUAUUUAUUAAAUUUUAUAUUAAUUCUUUUAGAACUCUAGUUAGUUGUAUGCUCUGAACACGUUUCUAAUUUAUUAAUUCUUUGAAUUUUAAAUUCAUAACCCUUAUUUACUUCUUAUUCUUAGCUUUUGUAUCAAUUAAUGGCUUUCGUCACCCUCGGGUGUCGGCCAGCACGUGCCUAUCCUGUUAUUCCAGGAAUAUUGGGAUCGGGGAGUGUCAUUCCCCUAGAAUUUAAGUAUGUCUUAAAUUAUUUUGGACCCACCAAACUGUCAUAUUUCAUUUUUUGUUUUUGUUUUUUACUUAUAAUCUAACGGCUAUGAUCAAAUGAGACCAAAUCUAAUAGUAAAAUAAACAUUUGACGGUCCAAAAUUAAAUAAUGUCUAAAAUUAUUUAAGAAAAUUAUCUACACCAAAUUUAACUUAAAACUUUAAAUACCUAUGUAUUUGUAUGAUUUUUAAUUACUUAUCAUCGAAAAUUAAAUAUUUAAAGACUAAAAUGUUCAUAAAAAUAAAUUAAGAUAAUCUACAUAAUUUUUUUUUUAAAAGAAAAGUUAUCGAAAACAAAAAGUUAGGCUAAAAUCAUUAUUUAAUCAUCACAGACUAAAAUUUUAAGCCACAAGGGUUGGAGGAAAAAAAAAAAUCAGUUUUUGGCUUAUGGCUUAAAAUUUUAUGGCUUAAAUUUUUAAGUUUUAUGCCCAAGGGUUGGAGAUGGUCUAAAGGGGUGAGGGAAUUCAAAUGGGCUAAACCCCACAAUGAAGCUAGCAAUAAUGUGGUUCAAAUUAGUAGAGGUGCAGUUAAAAAAUAUUAUUUAUAGACUUAUUAGAGGUAUAGUUAAAAAAAAAAUUAUUAGGAAAUUGUUAUUAGCACUCCAAAAAUCUCAUUUGGCACUCCAAACUUUCUAUAAUUAGAAAGAAAAAUACACUUAUGACGAGUGUAUAAUGAGUUUUUUUUAGUGCUAAUAACAGUUCCCUAUUAUUAAUUGACUUAUUUAUCUUUCAUUAAUGUUGUAUUUUCUAAAUAGGAUUUCUGAGAAGGGCAAUAUGGAAAUACAAAAAAGUUUCAUGCCAAGAAGUUGUAAACAUGCUUAAGAAAUUAGAAACAUUUUGGCUUCAAUAAGAAGGUGUCAUGUUGAUAGAGUAUUAUGUACUUGCAAGUUCAAAGACGUAGCACCAACUCCAAAAACUAAAGCAUUGCCUCAUACAAUUUUAGAUAAAUAUUUUAGUUCAUCUUAAACUUUUAUUUAUGGUAUUGCAUAUUUUUGUACUCAAACAACUUUAGAGAAAUAUUUUAAUUUCCUUAAGAUGAGACUAAGAACAAUUAUAACUUAUUAAAAUGUGGAGUUUAUUCCUAUGCAUAACUGGUCUUUUAAGUUGGGACCAAAAUCUUUUGUGACUUGAGGUUAUUCCUUUAUGGAAUAUUACUUUAGAGAGGUUUUACUGUAGUUAAGGCUUUUUUUAAUGAAAGCGCUUUCAUUAAAAACAAAAGGAAAACUAAUUAAAAAUGCUUGAAAACUUUGAGUUUUAACGAUAAGGACAAAAUAAAGGGUUAAGUGAAUAGUACCAUGAUUGACUUUUUAGUGCAAAAAUGUGAUUUUUCGUUAAAAUGAACAGUACCGCGGGCUUUUCGUUAAAACUCCCAAAAACAAAUCAAAGUUUUUAUUAUAAACCCAAUUGCUCUUUUAUAGUUGUGAAGGGAGAAUGUUGUGCAGGCAUUGUCGCUUGAGGUUCACUGUAUGAGAACAAGUCGCAACUCAAGUUUUGUAUCUUAUUUUUCACGACUGAGGCAUGCAAUUGAAGUUUACCUUUGUUUGUAUCAUACUUGACCAAUCCUGAAACUAUUGAGCACCGAUCAACGUUAUACCGUCAAGGACCCAGAAAAGUUUCCCUCCAACCAGGAGGCCAAUCACAGCGCGACACCUGUCGAUAUCAAAAGUCAAUCAUAGCGUGACACGUGUCAACAUCAGAAGCCAAUCACAACACGACACGUGUCAAUGUUUGAAUGAAACUAGAAACUCUCUUCUAUAAAUAGAUAUCAUUCUCUCACAAUAUUUCCUAAUGUCAUUUGUACUAAAUCAUUCACUUGUACUCACUAAAUGAGAGCUUGAACCUAUGUACUUGUGUAAACCCUUCACAAUUAAUGAGAACUCCUCUACUCCGUGGACGUAGCCAAUCUGGGUGAACCACAUACAUCUUGUGUUUGCUUCCCUAUCUCUAUCCAUUUAUAUACUUAUUCAUACUAGUGACCGGAGCAAUCUAGCGAAGGUCACAAACUUAACACUUUCUAUUGUACCAAAAUCCUCACUGAGUUUGUGCAUCAACAACCUUCUUACUUAUCACACCUACAACAAGAAAAACAAGACGAAGAAAAAAAAACACCUGUACUUUUGAAGUUGACCUAGUUCAAAUGGAAGUGCUAUAUAAGAGGGAAUAUAUCCGCUCUAACCAAUGCCGGUGUUAAAGCGAAAAAACACAGCAAUGAGCUAGUAGGAAGAAAACACAGUGAAAACUAGCCAAACUUGAAGCACUAUAUUAGUAGAUAUAAGAUUGCGCCGCCCUUAUUACAAGUCCUUUUAAACAGCAGGCAGCAGGAUACAAGUAUAUAUCACACACAAACAAAUUGCAUGGCUGAACUGGACUCUAUGAUUUCAUGGAAUGGGAUACACAACCACCUUUCCUGUAGUUCUGGAGGUUUCAAGAUAGGCAAAUGCUUCAACAGUCUUCGAAAAUGGAUACAGGCUGGUGGGAUCAAGCACCGGCCUCACCGUCCCACUCUCCAAGUGAGGCUUCAGUUUCUCUAAUACAG
Molecule: long non-coding RNA, 15961 nt
Filed under: Malus domestica (apple)
Lineage: Eukaryota; Viridiplantae; Streptophyta; Magnoliopsida; Rosales; Rosaceae
Description: long non-coding RNA (MDOM_LNC007859)
Source: RNAcentral